This 255-nucleotide ribosomal RNA is filed under the name uncultured bacterium. Its description in RNAcentral is "partial 16S ribosomal RNA". It matches the Rfam family "Bacterial small subunit ribosomal RNA", at positions 524 to 776 of the family's 1533-position model. The record is from RNAcentral.
UACAGAGGUGGCAAGCGUUUGUUCGGAAUUACUGGGCGUAAAGGGCGCGUAGGCGGCCUUCUAAGUCAGACGUGAAAUCCCCCGGCUUAACCUGGGAACUGCGUCUGAUACUGGGAGGCUUGAGUAUGGGAGAGGGAUGUAGAAUUCCAGGUGUAGCGGUGAAAUGCGCAGAUAUCAGGAGGAACACCGGUGGCGAAGGCGGGACUCUGGGCCGAUACUGACGCUGAGGAGCGAAAGCGUGGGGGAGCAAACAGG